Molecule: ribosomal RNA, 431 nt
Filed under: uncultured bacterium
Lineage: Bacteria
Description: partial 16S ribosomal RNA
Rfam family: Bacterial small subunit ribosomal RNA
Source: RNAcentral
AACGAACGCUGGCGGCAGGCUUAACACAUGCAAGUCGAACGCCCCGCAAGGGGUGUGGCCGACGGGUGAGUACCGCGUGGGAAUCUACCCAUCCCUACGGAAUAACGCAUGGAAACGUGUGCUAAUACCGUAUACGCCCUACGGGGGAAAGAUUUAUCGGGGAUGGAUGAGCCCGCGUUGGAUUAGCCUGUUGGUGGGGUAAAGGCCUACUAAGGCGACGAUCCAUAGCUGGUCUGAGAGGAUGAUCAGCCACAUUGGGACUGGGACACGGCCCAAACUCCUACGGGAGGCAGCAGUGGGGAAUAUUGGACAAUGGGCGCAAGCCUGAUCCAGCCAGGCCGCGUGAGUGAUGAAGGCCUUAGGGUUGUAAAGCUCUUUCACCGGAGAAGAUAAUGACGGUAUCCGGAGAAGAAGCCCCGGCUAACUUCGUG